Molecule: ribosomal RNA, 253 nt
Filed under: uncultured bacterium
Lineage: Bacteria
Description: partial 16S ribosomal RNA
Rfam family: Bacterial small subunit ribosomal RNA
Source: RNAcentral
UACGGAGGGUGCAAGCGUUUGUUCGGAUUUAUUGGGCGUAAAGCGCGUGUAGGCGGUUUCUUAAGUCUGAUGUGAAGCCCAGGGCUCAACCCUGGAAGUGCACAUGAUACUACGUGGCUGGAGUACUGAAGAGGAGAGCGGAAUUCCCGGUGUAGAGGUGAAAUUCGUAGAUAUCGGGAGGACACCAGUGGCGAAGGCGGCUCUCUGGGCAGAUCUGACACUGAGACGCGAAAAGCGUGGGUAGCAAACAGGG